UUACGGCCACAUCACGUUGAAACACUGGUUCACAUACGAUCACCGAAAUUAAGCAACGUUAACCAACUCCGGUCAGUACCUAAAUGGGUGACCGCUUGGGAAUACCAGGAGCUGUCAG
Molecule: non-coding RNA, 118 nt
Organism: Acanthosepion pharaonis
Lineage: Eukaryota; Metazoa; Mollusca; Cephalopoda; Sepiida; Sepiidae
Source: the annotation of a GenBank genome assembly